AAAUUGAAGAGUUUGAUCAUGGCUCAGAUUGAACGCUGGCGGCAGGCCUAACACAUGCAAGUCGAACGGUAACAGGGAUCAGCUUGCUGAUUCGCUGACGAGUGGCGGACGGGUGAGUAAUGUCUGGGAAACUGCCUGAUGGAGGGGGAUAACUACUGGAAACGGUAGCUAAUACCGCAUAACGUCGCAAGACCAAAG
This 198-nucleotide ribosomal RNA is filed under the name Escherichia coli. RNAcentral describes it as "partial 16S ribosomal RNA". It matches the Rfam family "Bacterial small subunit ribosomal RNA", at positions 1 to 206 of the family's 1533-position model. The record is from RNAcentral. Lineage: Bacteria; Pseudomonadati; Pseudomonadota; Gammaproteobacteria; Enterobacterales; Enterobacteriaceae.